RNAcentral lists this ribosomal RNA (506 nucleotides) under uncultured bacterium. Its description in RNAcentral is "partial 16S ribosomal RNA". It matches the Rfam family "Bacterial small subunit ribosomal RNA", at positions 30 to 523 of the family's 1533-position model. The record is from RNAcentral.
AUUGAACGCUAACGGCGUGCUUAACACAUGCAAGUCGAACGGCAGCACAGCAGUAGCAAUACUGUGGGUGGCGAGUGGCGGACGGGUGAGUAAUGCAUAGGAAUCUGCCUUGUAAUGGGGGAUAACCCGGGGAAACUCGGGCUAAUACCGAAUAAUCUUUACGAAGCAAAGUGGGGGACCGUAAGGCCUCACGUUAUAAGAUGAGCCUAGGUUGGAUUAGCUAGUUGGUGGGGUAAAGGCCUACCAAGGCGACGAUCCAUAGCUGGUAUGAGAAGAUGAUCGGCCACACUGGGACUGGGACACGGCCCAGACUCCUACGGGAGGCAGCAGUGGGGAAUAUUGGACAAUGGGGGAAACCCUGAUCCAGCAACGCCGUGUGUGUGAAGAAGGCCUUAGGGUUGUAAAGCACUUUCAGUAGGGAAGAAAGGCUUAAGGGUAAUAUCCUUGAGUAUUGACGUUACCUACAGAAGAAGCACUGGCUAACUCUGUGCCAGCCGCCGCGGUAA